This is a small nucleolar RNA of Jaculus jaculus (lesser Egyptian jerboa), 131 nucleotides long. The record is from Ensembl. Lineage: Eukaryota; Metazoa; Chordata; Mammalia; Rodentia; Dipodidae.
GAGCCAGCCAAUGAACCUGCUGCUCUGAAUGUGUUUCUGCAGAAAUUUAGAAAAAGCUAGCAACAGUGAUGCCAGGCCACAACCCUUAAGGACAACUGAGGUCAUUAAGGUCCCUGAAAAUAGCUGUAAUA